This 253-nucleotide ribosomal RNA is filed under the name uncultured bacterium. RNAcentral describes it as "partial 16S ribosomal RNA". It matches the Rfam family "Bacterial small subunit ribosomal RNA", at positions 524 to 776 of the family's 1533-position model. The record is from RNAcentral.
UACGUAGGGUGCGAGCGUUGUCCGGAAUUAUUGGGCGUAAAGGGCUCGUAGGCGGUUUGUCGCGUCGGGAGUGAAAACACACAGCUUAACUGUGUGCUUGCUUCCGAUACGGGCAGACUAGAGGUAUGCAGGGGAGAACGGAAUUCCUGGUGUAGCGGUGAAAUGCGCAGAUAUCAGGAGGAACACCCGUGGCGAAGGCGGUUCUCUGGGACGGUACUGACGCUGAGACGCGAAAGCGUGGGGAGCGAACAGG